UACGGAGGGUGCAAGCGUUAUCCGGAUUCUCUGGGUUUAAAGGGGGCGUAGGUGGGCAAGUAAGUCAGUGGUGAAAUCUCCGGGCUUAACCCGGAAACUGCCAUUGAUACUAUUUGUCUUGAAUACUGUGGAGGUCAGCGGAAUAUGUCAUGUAGCGGUGAAAUGCUUAGAUAUGACAUAGAACACCAAUUGCGAAGGCAGCUGGCUACACAAAUAUUGACACUGAGGCACGAAAGCGUGGGGAUCAAACAGG
RNAcentral lists this ribosomal RNA (253 nucleotides) under uncultured bacterium. Its description in RNAcentral is "partial 16S ribosomal RNA". It matches the Rfam family "Bacterial small subunit ribosomal RNA", at positions 524 to 776 of the family's 1533-position model. The record is from RNAcentral.